GACGAACGCUGGCGGCGUGCUUAACACAUGCAAGUCGAACGGAAAGGCGCUGCUUUUGUGGGGUGCUCGAGUGGCGAACGGGUGAGUAACACGUGAGUAACCUGCCCUUGACUUUGGGAUAACUUCAGGAAACUGGGGCUAAUACCGGAUAGGAGCUCCUGCUGCAUGGUGGGGGUUGGAAAGUUUCGGCGGUUGGGGAUGGACUCGCGGCUUAUCAGCUUGUUGGUGGGGUAGUGGCUUACCAAGGCUUUGACGGGUAGCCGGCCUGAGAGGGUGACCGGCCACAUUGGGACUGAGAUACGGCCCAGACUGCUACGGGCGGCAGCAGUGGGGAAUAUUGCACAAUGGGCGGAAGCCUGAUGCAGCAACGCCGCGUGCGGGAUGAUGGCCUUCGGGUUGUGAACAGCUUUCGCCUGUGCCGAAGCGUGAGUGACGGUACUGGGUCAAGAAGCACCGGCUAACUACGUG
RNAcentral lists this ribosomal RNA (468 nucleotides) under uncultured bacterium. Its description in RNAcentral is "partial 16S ribosomal RNA". It matches the Rfam family "Bacterial small subunit ribosomal RNA", at positions 28 to 507 of the family's 1533-position model. The record is from RNAcentral.